CUCGCUGUGUGACUGAACCAGUACCUGAUAAAGGCCCUUCCAAGAAGAUUCAAGAGCAGUUUUCUCCAGUGUCUCUUCCAAUAGUUGAAAUCUCCUGGUGGAAGGUUAUGAAGAGGUUGUUUAGGAAGACAUUGUGGGAAGGUGUUCUUCACUUUUGAUGACAGAGGUGGAGGACUGUACCCCAGAGGAGAGCUUCAAUUAGUGGUGGCAUAUCCUGCUUGAUAACCUCCCCUUGCAGUUUUGAGGCCUGACACAUCAACAAAUAAUGUUAGGUCAGGGUUCUCAAUGGGAGCCUCUGAUGAACCUGAGCGAGGCAUAGAAAGGUCCCCAAAGUAAGACAAGCCUGAGGUCCCCCUUCUUCUGGUAGGGGCAGAUGAGUGGCAAGAUUUGGGACACUGGAGCAGUGAAUAGCAAUGUGAGAGGGAGAAUGUAACAAAAUCUCCUGAGAGGUCAAAAGGCUGUUUGGGAGGUGCGUGUCCUCAGUCACUGGAAAUAUCUGUGCUGCAGGAGGAACCAUUAGGUCCGCCCAUGAGGACACCUCAGCAGAGGCUCCUGAAGAAGACCUCUGCCCAGGGCCGCAGAUAGAGACCUGGGACUGUCAAUACUGAGAAGAGCUUGACGUUCAGCAGAUCUGAGUCCUUGACUGCAACUGCCCUUGGAGACUGCAGUGCACAGGCUGGGCGUUCUCUGAGUGGAGUCUUAUCAGUCUGCUGCUUUUGGUGGAAUGUAUUCUCCUGUUGACAAGAGGAAGAUUAGCCUUGAGCUAAUUACUGCCAAUCCUCUUCUUUUUUGCUGAGGAAGACUGCCCCUGAGCUAACAUCCAUGCCCAUCCUCCUCUACCUUAUAUGUGGGACGCCUACCACAGUAUGGCUUUUGCCAAGCGGUGCCAUGUCCACAUCUGGGAUCCAAACCGGCAAACCUCGGGCCACUGAGAAGGAGAAUGUGUGAACUUAACCACUGUGCCACCAGAAUGGCAGCACACUGGUCCAGGCCAGGUGAAUUAGCACAUACAUGGGGGUCAUCACACUGUUGAAGGAGUACAAAAAAGGUUCUGGCAGUUUUGUGGACCCUGGGGCUGGGGAGAGGAUGAGGGAGAAGGGCCAGGAAUGGAAAAAUUCUGGAUGCUGAAUCAGAGUGUGGAAAAUUGUCUUCAAGGUUCUUCUCUUCCCCUGUAAGGAGACCUCAGCAGAAGUGCCCGAGGAAGACCUCUGUCCAAGGCCUCAGAUAAAGAGACCUAGGAAUGGCAGCACUAGAGCUAGGAAUGCAAACAUGGAACAGCAUGCCUAGCCAGAUGAGGCCUGUCAGACAAGGACGUGUUCUCCAGGAAAGUUUCGAGAGGGAGGAGGCCUGUGCUGGACUUCUCUGUCUCCAAGGAAGGGUUAAUGUUGGGGUGGUCAGACUCUCUGAAGCUCCAGGAUCGGCAUUCAUGUGGUUUAUGGAAAUUCUGAAGACUGCACAUAUGCUCCAUUUGUAGAUGUUUUAUAUUUUCUAAAGGAGUUUUCUUUCCAUAGAGUAAGUUCCCUAUUUUUAAUAACCUCUCAAGCAGUAUUUCACAUAGGGGAGGUGCAUCAAGAAAAGCAAUUUCUAGUGGCAAAUAGCUGAGUAGCUUUUCUUGUCUUUUUUCUUAUGGAUACAGCUCAUAAUAUGAACUUGACUGUAAGCUUCUUGAGAAAAGGGGCAAUGUUUUCUACCUUCUGUGUUUAUGUCAGUACCCAGUUCAUUACUCCAGACAUAACAAGUGGAAUGUGACUGGUCUUUUUACAGUCUCCAUAUUUUUUUAUAUUUCACUCUGUAUUAUAAAAGUAAAUGAAUGGGUGAUAGUUGCACAAGAGUGUGAAUGUACUUAAUGCCAUUGAACUAUGCUUUAAAAAGGGUUAAAAUGGAAAAAAUUUUAAAAAACAGGUGAUGGCAUCUUUGGAACACUGCCU
Molecule: long non-coding RNA, 1928 nt
Organism: Equus caballus (horse)
Lineage: Eukaryota; Metazoa; Chordata; Mammalia; Perissodactyla; Equidae
Source: Ensembl